GGCUGCGAUAGUGAUCUGAGACAUUAGUCACCCCAUUCAUUGCCAAGGUUCAUUCAGCUGAUUGGGAUGGUCAGCCUACUAAUCCUCUUUUUCCUUUAGCACUUCACAUGUGUUCCUCCUAAAGGUGCAGGCUCCUUGGAAGAGAGUGACCUUUCCCUAUACAGGAAAACAAUUCUUCAGUCAAAAAUACAGGAGUUUCAGUGUUGUCUCAUUAGAACCUCCAGAUAAUCUCUUAAAAGAGACAAGAAACCAAAAGCAAGCAUAAGAGAAGUGAGUGGAUGGAAAGAGGAAGAAAAGGAAAGUUGAAAGAGAAACCAGCAAUGUUAUUUUU
RNAcentral lists this small nuclear RNA (331 nucleotides) under Meriones unguiculatus (Mongolian gerbil). Its description in RNAcentral is "7SK RNA (ENSMUGG00000003532.1)". It matches the Rfam family "7SK RNA". Rfam says of the family: 7SK was discovered as an abundant small nuclear RNA in the mid-70s but a possible function has only recently been suggested. Two independent studies have found that 7SK RNA binds the CDK9/cyclin T complex (known as elongation factor P-TEFb). Lineage: Eukaryota; Metazoa; Chordata; Mammalia; Rodentia; Muridae. The record is from RNAcentral.